RNAcentral lists this transfer RNA (72 nucleotides) under Streptococcus sp. X16XC17. It matches the Rfam family "tRNA". From Rfam's summary of the family: Transfer RNA (tRNA) molecules are approximately 80 nucleotides in length. Their secondary structure includes four short double-helical elements and three loops (D, anti-codon, and T loops). Further hydrogen bonds mediate the characteristic L-shaped molecular structure. tRNAs have two regions of fundamental functional importance: the anti-codon, which is responsible for specific mRNA codon recognition, and the 3' end, to which the tRNAs corresponding amino acid is attached (by aminoacyl-tRNA synthetases). tRNAs cope with the degeneracy of the genetic code in two manners: having more than one tRNA (with a specific anti-codon) for a particular amino acid; and 'wobble' base-pairing, i.e. permitting non-standard base-pairing at the 3rd anti-codon position. The record is from Rfam by way of RNAcentral. Lineage: Bacteria; Bacillati; Bacillota; Bacilli; Lactobacillales; Streptococcaceae.
CUUCCCUUAGUUAAAUGGAUAUAACAAAUUCCUCCUAAGAAUUAGUUGUUGGUUCGAUUCCAGCAGGGGAGA